GACGUAGGAGGCGAGCGUUAUCCGGAUUCACUGGGCGUAAAGCGCAUGUAGGCGGUUGCACAAGUCCGUUGUUAAAGCCCCUGGCUCAACUGGGGGAGGUCAAUGGAGACUGUGCGACUUGAGGGCAAUAGAGGCACGUGGAACUCCCGGUGUAGCGGUGGAAUGCGUAGAGAUCGGGAAGAACACCAGUGGCGAAGGCGGUUCUCUGGGCAUGAUCUGACGCUGAGGAGCGAAAGUGUGGGGAGCGAACAGG
RNAcentral lists this ribosomal RNA (253 nucleotides) under uncultured bacterium. Its description in RNAcentral is "partial 16S ribosomal RNA". It matches the Rfam family "Bacterial small subunit ribosomal RNA", at positions 524 to 776 of the family's 1533-position model. The record is from RNAcentral.